UCCCUGUAUUUUUUUUCCUUCACUCCAGAAGUGAGAAUUAUACCACAUUGAGAAGAUAUGAAUGCAUAUCCUAAAAAAAGAAAAAGGAAGACUUUACACCCUUCUCGUUAUUCAGACUCCUCUGGAAUAAGCAGAAUUGCAGAUGGAUUCAAUGGAAUUUUUUCUGAUCAUUGUUAUAGUGUCUGUUCUAUGAGAAAGUCAGACUUAAAAUAUUUUGACAACGAAGAUGAUGAUUCUGAUACUGAGAUGUCAAAUGACUUGCCUAAAUUUACAGAUGGAACCAAGGCCACAAACAGAAAUCAGAACUACUUGGUUCCUAGUCCAGUGCUUAGAAUUCUAGACCAGACUGCCUUCCCUACAGAAAAAUCUGCCAAUGUUGAAAUUUUUGAUGAAGAGUGUGACUCACCUAAAUCAAUCAAUCAACAAACCCAAGAGGAGAGUCCUAUAGAAGUUCACACAGCUGAAGAUGUUCCAGUUGCUGUAGAAGUACAUGCAAUUUCUGAGGACUAUGAUAUAGAGACAGAAAAAAAUUCCUCUGAGAGUCUCCAGGAUCAAACUGAUGAAGAGCCACCAGCUAAACUUUGUAAAAUUAUUGACAAUCGCCAGGCUUUGAAUGUGACUGCUCAGGAGAAAUGGCCUUUACUGAGAGCUAAUAAUAGUGGACUCUAUAAAUGUGAAUUUUGCGAGUUCAACAGCAAAUAUUUUUCCGAUUUAAAGCAGCAUAUGAUUCUGAAGCAUAAAUGUACUGAUUCAAAUGUGUGUCGAGUAUGCAAGGAAAGUUUCUCUACCAACAUGCUUCUGAUAGAACAUGCCAAACUACAUGAAGAGGAUCCCUACAUUUGUAAAUACUGUGACUAUAAGACAGUAAUUUUUGAGAACCUAAGCCAGCACAUGGCAGACACUCAUUUUAGUGAUCACCUCUACUGGUGUGAACAGUGUGAUGUUCACUUCUCUUCAAGUAGUGAACUCUACCUACAUUUCCAGGAGCACAGCUGUGAUGAGCAGUAUUUGUGUCAGUUUUGUGAAUAUGAAACUAAUGACCCAGAAGAUUUGCAUAGCCAUGUGGUAAAUGAGCAUGCAUGUAAAUUAAUAGAAUUAAGUGACAAGUAUAACAGUGGAGAACAUGGACAGUUUAGCCUCUUUAGCAAAAUUACCUUUGACAAAUGUAAAAACUUCUUUGUAUGUCAAGUAUGUGGUUUUCGGAGUAGACUUCAUACCAAUGUUAAUAGGCAUGUGGCUAUUGAACAUACUAAAAUUUUUCCUCAUGUUUGUGAUGGCUGUGGUAAAGGCUUUUCAAGUAUGCUAGAAUAUUGCAAGCAUCUAAAUUCACAUUUAUCUGAAGGGAUUUAUUUAUGUCAAUAUUGUGAAUAUUCAACAGGACAAAUUGAAGGUCUUAAAAUUCAUCUAGAUUUCAAGCAUUCAGCUGACUUACCUCAUAAAUGUAGUGACUGCUUGAUGAGGUUUGGGAAUGAAAGGGAGUUAAUAAGUCACCUUCCAGUCCAUGAGACCACAUGAUUAUUCUCUUUAUUUAAAUUUACAGAAUGUUAAUGUAAAAUAAUAAAUUCAGCUUUUUUUGGCUAUGUUAAAAUGAAUGAUUUUAAACAAACUUUAAAAAUUUGCCUUUAACAUUGUCCAGUUUUCUUGACAUUGCUCCAUUUUUCAGUAUAUAAUUGUAUCUUAAAUGUGGUAUUUUCAAUUCCACGAUAGUUCAUGGUUUUAAUCAUUCUUGAUGACUGUCAUCCUGUUUCUUAUAUGUGCUCUAAUUUCAUGAAUUGACAAACAGGUACUGAAGAAAGAGCUACAGUUCUCCAUCCUUAACCAUAGGUGCUACUUUUUUUUUUUUGAGGAGGAGGAGGAGGACAAGCUUAGAUUUUAAUGUAUAAAGUCAUUAAAUUAUUGUACUACCAGAACUAAAAUGCAAUAUAAUAUACAAUUAAAUCCACUGAUAAUCCCAUUAGU
This is an RNA transcript of Otolemur garnettii (small-eared galago), 1959 nucleotides long. It is a transcript of the gene named zinc finger protein 639 pseudogene, with no coding region annotated. The record is from RefSeq and is a predicted model, not a curated record. Lineage: Eukaryota; Metazoa; Chordata; Mammalia; Primates; Galagidae. The transcript has a single exon.